Molecule: ribosomal RNA, 493 nt
Filed under: uncultured bacterium
Lineage: Bacteria
Description: partial 16S ribosomal RNA
Rfam family: Bacterial small subunit ribosomal RNA
Source: RNAcentral
AACGCUGGCGGCGUGCCUAAUACAUGCAAGUCGAGCGAACAGACGAGGAGCUUGCUCCUCUGCCGUUAGCGGCGGACGGGUGAGUAACACGUGGAUAACCUACCUAUAAGACUGGGAUAACUUCGGGAAACCGGAGCUAAUACCGGAUAAUAUAUUGAACCGCAUGGUUCAAUAGUGAAAGACGGUUUUGCUGUCACUUAUAGAUGGAUCCGCGCCGCAUUAGCUAGUUGGUAAGGUAACGGCUUACCAAGGCAACGAUGCGUAGCCGACCUGAGAGGGUGAUCGGCCACACUGGAACUGAGACACGGUCCAGACUCCUACGGGAGGCAGCAGUAGGGAAUCUUCCGCAAUGGGCGAAAGCCUGACGGAGCAACGCCGCGUGAGUGAUGAAGGUCUUCGGAUCGUAAAACCCUGUUAUUAGGGAAGAACAAAUGUGUAAGUAACUAUGCACGUCUUGACGGUACCUAAUCAGAAAGCCACGGCUAACUACGUG